This 568-nucleotide ribosomal RNA is filed under the name uncultured bacterium. RNAcentral's name for it is "partial 16S ribosomal RNA". It matches the Rfam family "Bacterial small subunit ribosomal RNA", at positions 355 to 912 of the family's 1533-position model. The record is from RNAcentral.
UGGGGAAUAUUGCACAAUGGGCGCAAGCCUGAUGCAGCCAUGCCGCGUGUGUGAAGAAGGCCUUCGGGUUGUAAAGCACUUUCAGCGAGGAGGAAGGUGGUGAGCUUAAUACGCUCAUCAAUUGACGUUACUCGCAGAAGAAGCACCGGCUAACUCCGUGCCAGCAGCCGCGGUAAUACGGAGGGUGCAAGCGUUAAUCGGAAUUACUGGGCAUAAAGCGCACGCAGGCGGUUUGUUAAGUCAGAUGUGAAAUCCCCGGGCUCAACCUGGGAACUGCAUUUGAAACUGGCAAGCUAGAGUCUCGUAGAGGGGGGUAGAAUUCCAGGUGUAGCGGUGAAAUGCGUAGAGAUCUGGAGGAAUACCGGUGGCGAAGGCGGCCCCCUGGACGAAGACUGACGCUCAGGUGCGAAAGCGUGGGGCAGCAAACAGGAUUAGAUACCCUGGUAGUCCACGCUGUAAACGAUGUCGAUUUUGGAGGUUGUGCCCCUUGAGGCGUGGCUUCCGGAGCUAACGCGUUAAAUCGACCGCCUGGGGAGUACGGCCGCAAGGUUAAAACUCAAAUGAAUUG